UUUUCAGGAGGAGAUGGAAGAUUGAGAGCAGAGUGCAAGAAUGGGAAGAGGGCUUCGUGCCCUGUGCACGUUUGCCACCUAGUGACCAAACUGAAUGGUGUGCUUCUCACCUCAGCCUGAUAGCCUGACCUUGACUCCUGAGUUCCACGAUCGCUUCACAACUGCAAGUCACCAUCAUACAAAAUUUGAGUUUCCCUAAGUCCGCGCCUUUGAGAGCUUUGGAACGAUAUGGUUUCCGAUGGCGCCAGUGUCAAGGUCUUCCAACAACUCCGGGUCUUCCAGCGACUUCAAGUCUUCCAAUAAUCUCAAGGUCUUCCGGAUAAUCCUGAGCUUCCAGAAAAUCCACAUCUUCCAGACAAUCCAUGUCUUCCGGACAAUCCAUGUCUUCCAAGAAGCUCCAAGUCUUCCAGCAAAUCCAGUCUUCCAGCAAUUAUAGGUCUUCCACCAAAUCCAGAUCUUCCAGGAAAAUCCACGUCUUCCAGGAAAUCCAUGUCUUCCAAUAAUUUCAAGGUCUUCCAUCAAAUACAGAUCUUCCA
This 536-nucleotide long non-coding RNA is filed under the name Pan troglodytes (chimpanzee). Its description in RNAcentral is "long non-coding RNA NONPTRT018368". Lineage: Eukaryota; Metazoa; Chordata; Mammalia; Primates; Hominidae. The record is from RNAcentral.